RNAcentral lists this ribosomal RNA (249 nucleotides) under uncultured bacterium. Its description in RNAcentral is "partial 16S ribosomal RNA". It matches the Rfam family "Bacterial small subunit ribosomal RNA", at positions 524 to 772 of the family's 1533-position model. The record is from RNAcentral.
UACGUAGGGAGCAAGCGUUGUCCGGAAUCAUUGGGCGUAAAGCGCGCGUAGGUGGCCUCAUAAGUCCGCUGUGAAAGUCAAAGGCUCAACCUUUGAAAGCCGGUGGAUACUGUGGGGCUAGAGUACGGAAGAGGCGAGUGGAAUUCCUGGUGUAGCGGUGGAAUGCGCAGAUAUCAGGAGGAACACCAAUAGCGAAGGCAGCUCGCUGGGACGUUACUGACACUGAGGCGCGAAAGCGUGGGGAGCGAA